RNAcentral lists this small RNA (19 nucleotides) under Arabidopsis thaliana (thale cress). RNAcentral describes it as "ATSL105260". The record is from RNAcentral. Lineage: Eukaryota; Viridiplantae; Streptophyta; Magnoliopsida; Brassicales; Brassicaceae.
UUCUCAUUGCCUCUUUCUU